Lactuca sativa (garden lettuce) is the source of this 965-nucleotide long non-coding RNA. RefSeq lists it as uncharacterized. The record is from RefSeq and is a predicted model, not a curated record. NCBI's taxonomy places the organism in Eukaryota, Viridiplantae, Streptophyta, Magnoliopsida, Asterales, Asteraceae.
GUGAGGAAAUGUAAAAUUUUAGGGGAGGUGGAUGAAAAUCACCAUCGCUAGAGAUCAGGACUAGGGUUGACGCCCACACUUUUCUUACUAUAUAUUCGAUAUUCAGUUUCAGUUUAAUACAAUUUCACAGCCGCUGUCAUAAUCGACCCUUUGAAUCUAAUAGCAUUCACACGAUAUAUUUUUUCUGAAAAUCAUCCUUUGUUUUGAUAAAGUUAUCGAUCUGCGUCUUUUUCGGUCAUCAUAAUCACCAAGACUUUUAUGAGUCGAUUACGAAAAAAAAAAAUUAAAAAUCUCUAUCAUGCUUCUAGAUCCAAAAACUAGCAAAGAUCCGCAAUAUUUUAAAACAAAAAACAUUCAAGUAGAAUCAGAUCGGUACCAGUUAGGUGUUCAUCGCAUUUCAAAAGUCGGUUUCGUGGGUUUGUCUAGAGGCCACUGUACAUUAGCCUUUCCAAGUGUGAAAGGGAAUAUCGUAUAGGGUGUUUGAGGGUACAUAAGAAGAUGGAUCUGAAGGUGUGCUUUCAUUUCGGAAGAAUCAGAAUCGGAAUCACUAAUUCCGAUGUGAAGUGGAUUGUGUUCCUUGGGAAAGAUGUUUCUGAUGACCACAAAGUGUCGCUUUCACAAGCAGUUGAUAUCUUUCAUGUUUUCAUUGAUUGUAACAGAAAGGCUUCACAUCUAUUGUUGAUUCCAUUACCGGAAGUGAUUUUAUUCCAUCAAUGGUGACAUUCUAAGGAACAUCUUUGUUAGAAAUGUAGGUGGUGGGUCCUGAAGGUGGAAUUACUUUUCAAGAUGGUUUUGGUUUUUGUCUUUGCAUGGAGAAGUAAGUAAACAAUGAAUGAAUGAGUAAUGAAUACCCAUUUGGUGGAUUUAUAUUUGUUGGCUUUAAAAUAUAGAUUUGAUGUAUGUUUCAAGAUUUUUCCUUUGUUGAAUAUGUAAUUAUUGUUAAUUUUUUCAUGAAUUUAUAUUUU